Humulus lupulus (European hop) is the source of this 394-nucleotide long non-coding RNA. RefSeq lists it as uncharacterized. The record is from RefSeq and is a predicted model, not a curated record. The transcript has 3 exons. Lineage: Eukaryota; Viridiplantae; Streptophyta; Magnoliopsida; Rosales; Cannabaceae.
ACUUGAUGAUAUUAUUGCGUGUCUAACAAAAUAGUUCCCCGUAUUAAUAGUUUUUUGUUACUUUUUUUACCUGAUGAUUUGGUUUUUUUCUUUGUAAACUUGUUAUUCACUUGUACUGUAUGGUCUAGAUUCAGAUCGCUUUAUACGUGCACUGGAGCUUCCUCAAGUCCAGGAACAUAUCAGAGAACUUAAAGAAAGAUUUGUUGGGCGGAAGUUUUAUGGUGCAACAACAUUUUUCAUUCAUAGAUCAGACUUUAGUGUCUCCUUGAUUAUGCUUUAUAUGAAGGUUGGAGAGAAAGACAGUUAAGAGGAAAAGAGUUUUUGCUCGAACAUAUUGUUCACCUUCUUGCCAAUGAGCAAUCACAACUUCAUGUUCUUGAAGAAGCUAAACCCG